Long non-coding RNA from Bos taurus (domestic cattle), 1121 nucleotides. Lineage: Eukaryota; Metazoa; Chordata; Mammalia; Artiodactyla; Bovidae. The record is from Ensembl.
CAGUCGCCCGAGGAGAAGCCCACCUGGCUGCGAGCUCUAGGGCUGCAUCCACGUUGGACCAGCCCUGCCCUCCAUAUUCGACGGAGAAGGGGCGGAGUUUCGGCCAGGGCCCGCCCCCGACAGCGGAGCGCGGGAGGCCGAGGCGGGACUUCCGCCUCGCAAGGUGCCACUUCCGGAUCCGGUGGCGAUAGUUUCCGGGUCAGUUUAGAGCCGCGAUGCACUGGCGGGUUGUUUGAGUUAUGGCUCGCGCAUCGCUGGGGAUGUUGGGCUGCAGCUCGAGGCGGAAGGGCGAGGCAGAGGGCGAUCUGGCGGGGACUGUGUCUGCGCCGCCUGCCAUUGACUUCUCGGCCGAGAGCUCGGACCCCAAGCGUGAUGGAAAAUGUCAGAGGAAGAUUCUCCCACCCGGUUCAGAGUUACUCUGAUUUGGAAAAUGACGCUCAGCGCACGGCCCCUGGAGUCGUCUCCCAGGAGCCGAAACUGAAGGAUCGAAGCUAACGGAAGAAAAUAACGGCUUUGGGUUACAGUUACGAAGAGCUGCCCACAAAUAGGUCAAUUCAUUUAAUUCUCAUGUAACCCUGUAAGGUUGGGUGAAGUGGGAUCUUUACAAAUGAACAACUGAGACAGGUUAAAUAAUUUGUUUAAAAAUCACAGCUCCUAGUGGUCGGACUCCAUGUAAACAAACUGGAUACAGAUGUUACUUAUCGAGUUGUUUGUAAUAUUAUCGGAGACGCCUAUUUCUCCCUCAGCUGGAGGCAUGGCCAAAUUAUGGAAUAUCAAGUUACAAAAUACUGUGUUACACUAAACAUGGAAGUUGCCCAGGACAUAGUUCGGAGUGGAAAACAAAAUGCAAGUUGCAGAAAAAUGUGUUUUUAGCCAUUGUUUUUGCAAAACCAAACCCUUUCGAAACAAUGCUGUCCUAUUGUAGUACACACUUAUCUAUGUAAUCGAAUAAAGAUUGGAGUAACAUAUACUAAACCGACAACUGUGUAGGGGAGGGAAGGGGGAGGCAUGGGGAUUUAAGAGAGUUAUGGUAGAAAGGAACUUUAUUCUUACAAAGUUUAAUAAUUUGAGAAAUAAAAUCCACCUGAUGGUGUGAGGAUAUAAGGGUUAUGAGAAUAUGG